This 480-nucleotide ribosomal RNA is filed under the name uncultured bacterium. RNAcentral's name for it is "bacterial SSU rRNA". It matches the Rfam family "Bacterial small subunit ribosomal RNA", at positions 501 to 982 of the family's 1533-position model. The record is from RNAcentral.
CUACGUGCCAGCAGCCGCGGUAAUACGGAGGGUGCGAGCGUUAAUCGGAAUAACUGGGCGUAAAGGGCACGCAGGCGGUGACUUAAGUGAGGUGUGAAAGCCCCGGGCUUAACCUGGGAAUUGCAUUUCAUACUGGGUCGCUAGAGUACUUUAGGGAGGGGUAGAAUUCCACGUGUAGCGGUGAAAUGCGUAGAGAUGUGGAGGAAUACCGAAGGCGAAGGCAGCCCCUUGGGAAUGUACUGACGCUCAUGUGCGAAAGCGUGGGGAGCAAACAGGAUUAGAUACCCUGGUAGUCCACGCUGUAAACGAUGUCGAUUUGGGGGUUGAACUUUAGGUUUGGCGCCCGUAGCUAACGUGAUAAAUCGACCGCCUGGGGAGUACGGCCGCAAGGUUAAAACUCAAAUGAAUUGACGGGGGCCCGCACAAGCGGUGGAGCAUGUGGUUUAAUUCGAUGCAACGCGAAGAACCUUACCAAGGCUU